GACGAACGCUGGCGGCGUGCUUAACACAUGCAAGUCGAACGGAAAGGCCCUGCUUUUGUGGGGUGCUCGAGUGGCGAACGGGUGAGUAACACGGGAGUAACCUGCCCUUGACUUUGGGAUAACUUCAGGAAACUGGGGCUAAUACCGGAUAGGAGCUCCUGCUGCAUGGUGGGGGUUGGAAAGUUUCGGCGGUUGGGGAUGGACUCGCGGCUUAUCAGCUUGUUGGGGGGGUAGUGGCUUACCAAGGCUUUGACGGGCAGCCGGCCUGAGCGGGUGACCGGCAACAUUGGGACUGGGAUACGGCCCAGACUCCUACGGGAGGCAGCAGUGGGGAAUAUUGCACAAUGGGCGGAAGCCUGAUGCAGCAACGCCGCGUGCGGGAUGACGGCCUUCGGGUUGUAAACCGCUUUCGCCUGUGACGAAGCGUGAGUGACGGUAAUGGGUAAAGAAGCACCGGCUAACUACGUG
This 468-nucleotide ribosomal RNA is filed under the name uncultured bacterium. RNAcentral's name for it is "partial 16S ribosomal RNA". It matches the Rfam family "Bacterial small subunit ribosomal RNA", at positions 28 to 507 of the family's 1533-position model. The record is from RNAcentral.